This 447-nucleotide ribosomal RNA is filed under the name uncultured bacterium. Its description in RNAcentral is "bacterial SSU rRNA". It matches the Rfam family "Bacterial small subunit ribosomal RNA", at positions 355 to 825 of the family's 1533-position model. The record is from RNAcentral.
UGGGGAAUUUUGGGCAAUGGGCGAAAGCCUGACCCAGCAACGCCGCGUGAAGGAUGAAGUAUUUCGGUAUGUAAACUUCGAAAGAAUAGGAAGAAUAAAUGACGGUACUAUUUAUAAGGUCCGGCUAACUACGUGCCAGCAGCCGCGGUAAUACGUAGGGACCAAGCGUUGUUCGGAUUUACUGGGCGUAAAGGGCGCGUAGGCGGUGUGUCAAGUCAGUUGUGAAAUCUCCGAGCUUAACUCGGAACGGUCAACUGAUACUGUCACACUAGAGUACAGAAGGGGCAAUCGGAAUUCUUGGUGUAGCGGUGAAAUGCGUAGAUAUCAAGAGGAACACCUGAGGCGAAGGCGGGUUGCUGGGCUGAUACUGACGCUGAGGCGCGAAAGCUAGGGUAGCAAACGGGAUUAGAUACCCUAGUAGUCCCUGAGCGGGCUGGCAAGGCGCAU